This 1041-nucleotide long non-coding RNA is filed under the name Homo sapiens (human). Its description in RNAcentral is "HSALNT0010226". The record is from RNAcentral. Lineage: Eukaryota; Metazoa; Chordata; Mammalia; Primates; Hominidae.
CAAUAAUAGAAUUAGGUACAAGUAGAGAAUGAUACAGAGAAGGGCAGGAUUAACUUCAACUGGGGUGGGAGUAAGGAAGGCUUCCUAGAGAAGGUGACCACUGAUUUGGGUUUUGAGAGUUGAAUAGUAGUUUGCCAAGUGGGAAAGGUGUUUUAAUUAGUGGGGAUGAACUGUGCAAAAGACUGGUAUAUCCAGUGAACUGCUUUCCUUCUGUUGUUUCUUGUGACUAAUCCCCAACUUGUGUUAUACAAGAUUUAAAUGUUUGCAAGAUCUGAAAUCCUUUCUCUCUGUGAGUAGCGCCUCUCCUCAUCUUAAUGUUAAACAAGACCCCUCAAAUUUGGCCAUGAAACUAUUUUGUUCUUGAUCUAAUCUUUUAAGUUGAAGUUUAACUUCAUUUUUUCUGGUUUUGUUCUUUCAAAAACGAAGAUAAUUCUGUAAUCAUCCUCUGUUGAAAAUAAAGGUCUACAAAGUGUCCGUUACCCUGGAGCUGUACAAGUCACACACAGCUCCAUUGGAGAGAAAACUGGAUGGAACCAUUUGACUGAAAAUCCAUGUCAAAAGGCCAACAAGAAAGAGCUGAGACACUGCAGAAAGAGCAGGAAUAAAUAAGAGGUGAAGACAGACAGAGACCAGACAAGGAGGACUCAAUUACAGACUGACAGAAGACUCAAGGAAGAAAAUGAAGGUUUGUAACUUCUAGACUUCUUGUAUAGGCUUGUCUAUCUAAAAAGAUACAUAAAUCAUAUAUAUUAGCAUAUAUCAGGCAUUUAUCUGUUCAGUGGAGACCAAUUCACAAAAAUGCCAAUACUCCAUGCUUACAAGGUUCUGAAGAGUAGAAUAAAUAUCUAUUUAGGGAAAAAAUUCUAUUGCAUUUUGUGCUGUCUUAUACAUAUUAUAGAGCUUGGGGGAAGUGGAAACAACCUUCUUCUGGAAACCUUCUUUUUACAAAUGCAAGGAUGGCCUGGAAAUGGACCUAAGGUCCUUAUGGAGCCACUUUGUCUAAAAUGCUAAAGAAGUGGCUCUCACAUUGAUCCACAUAAC